AAUUGGAGGGCAAGUCUGGUGCCAGCAGCCGCGGUAAUUCCAGCUCCAAUAGCGUAUAUUAAAGUUGUUGCAGUUAAAAAGCUCGUAGUUGAAUUUCGGGAUCAGCAGGUUGGUCGUGCCAAUGGUAUGAACUGGCCUUGCUGAUUCCUCCCUCUUGAUGAGCCGUAAUGCCAUUAAUUUGGUGUUGCGGGGAAUCAGGACUGUUACUUUGAAAAAAUUAGAGUGUUUAAAGCAGGCAAGCGCUUGAAUACAUUAGCAUGGAAUAAUGAAAUAGGACGUUUGAUCCUAUUUUGUUGGUUUCUAGGAUUGACGUAAUGAUUAAUAGGGAUAGUUGGGGGCAUUAGUAUUCAAUUGUCAGAGGUGAAAUUCUUGGAUUUAUUGAAGACUAACUACUGCGAAAGCAUUUGCCAAGGAUGUUUUCAUUAAUCAAGAACGAAAGUUAGGGGAUCGAAGACGAUCAGAUACCGUCGUAGUCUUAACCAUAAACUAUGCCGACUAGGGAUCGGAUGAUGUUAAUUUUAUAAUGACUCAUUCGGCGCCUUACGGGAAACCAAAGUGU
This 559-nucleotide ribosomal RNA is filed under the name uncultured Glomus. RNAcentral's name for it is "SSU rRNA". It matches the Rfam family "Eukaryotic small subunit ribosomal RNA", at positions 546 to 1106 of the family's 1831-position model. Lineage: Eukaryota; Fungi; Glomeromycota; Glomeromycetes; Glomerales; Glomeraceae. The record is from RNAcentral.